AAAACUGUGACAAUAAAACCGUUCAAAAUAAAAAAUCUGUUCUUAUCAGUUAAAUAUCUGAUAUGUCCCCUACCCGGGGACUGCAUAUUAAAAGGAUUUUUGGAUCACGGAGCUGGAGCCGGGGCUUGCUCCGUCCAC
RNAcentral lists this small nuclear RNA (138 nucleotides) under Sinocyclocheilus rhinocerous. Its description in RNAcentral is "U2 spliceosomal RNA (ENSSRHG00000005868.1)". It matches the Rfam family "U2 spliceosomal RNA", at positions 1 to 142 of the family's 192-position model. Rfam says of the family: U2 is a small nuclear RNA (snRNA) component of the spliceosome (involved in pre-mRNA splicing). Complementary binding between U2 snRNA (in an area lying towards the 5' end but 3' to hairpin I) and the branchpoint sequence (BPS) of the intron results the bulging out of an unpaired adenosine, on the BPS, which initiates a nucleophilic attack at the intronic 5' splice site, thus starting the first of two transesterification reactions that mediate splicing. The record is from Rfam by way of RNAcentral. Lineage: Eukaryota; Metazoa; Chordata; Actinopteri; Cypriniformes; Cyprinidae.